AGAGCAGGAGGCCAGAGGCAGCGCCGCCCCGUCUCCUUCCCCUCCGGACACAGGGAGGGGCUGCUCUGUGGACGUAGCUCUAGGGGCAAGCGCGUCGGAAAAGGAACCGGAAGUGGCGCUGCCAAACGCGCCGGAAGUGGCCAGACAGGGAAAGGAGGAGGAGGGGCGUCGCUGAAAAUCCCCCCCCGUGGCCGCCGCCCUUUCUCUUGCAGACAAGGAAAGCGGAAUAAUCCGGAGCCAGGGAGGCGGAGGACCAAGAGGCAGCCAGGCUGAAUAGUUGCUGGAGCUGGGGAAGGUGGAGGCAGCCCAGAAACUGCAUCUGAGAGCCCCUGCACCACUUGAAGGCGGCCAGUUGCUCCUCAGCGGAGCUUCCCGCUGCCGCUCCUACUUGUGUGCAAGGAGGAGUGGAGGCAGGGAUCUCUCAUCGCAAAGCCUCCACUUCUGAGAGAUCUCCGCCCUGCUCCUGAACAGGGCUGCCUUCAGAGGUCUUCCAAAAGAGAUUGAGACCUUUGUUGCAACAAAUAAAGGAUCAGGCCUUCUGGCCACAGAUUUGCUUCCUCAUUGCUUGCCUGCCGCCUCGCGUUUUCUGAUCAAUCCAGCAUCCGCAGGGCUAGACUCCAGCAAAGUUGGAAAGCACUUUAAGAAAACAAAAAGGAUUUUCUCCCCACCCCAUCGAAAGAAGACAAUGGAGAAGGCAAUCAGAAUUCUGGAGGGCCAUGUCUAAUGGGAAUAAUGAAGAAGACAUUUAAAUACAUGGAGUGUGAAAACAGAGAACAUAAACAAUUUGAAAGUAUGGAGUGUGGAAGGAGCUUCACUGACAGUGGAAACCUUAGAAAACACCAAUGGAGUGACACAGGGGAGAAAUCAUUUAAAUGUAUGGAGUG
Non-coding RNA from Podarcis muralis (Common wall lizard), 884 nucleotides. NCBI's taxonomy places the organism in Eukaryota, Metazoa, Chordata, Lepidosauria, Squamata, Lacertidae. The record is from RefSeq and is a predicted model, not a curated record.